UAAACAACCAAAAUAACGCAGAGGAGAAACAAUCUAAAAGCUAGUAGUUCAAAGAGGCAAAUACAGGGGAAAGGAAGAUGAUGAUGAAGAAGAAGAUCGUGGUUUUAUCUUUGGUUCUGUUGUUUAUAAUCUCGCUGUCGCAUAUGGAAGGGGUCGAGUCGCAGGGGGUCAACUGUUACGAUGCUUGCAACACCGGUUGUGUCGGAUUAAGUACGAGGCUUUAUCAGCGGUGUGACCGCAAGUGCCAAAUAAAAUGCAAUCCAGGCCUUGAAGUUGAAGGACAUCUAAGGUGAAGAAGGAAGAGACUUUUGAGCCAAGCAUGUGGUCAAUGCAGAAUAACGAAGGGGGAAAACCCUACUGUGACCCUCUAGACUUUGAAUGCAGUUUUGAUUAUUGGAUGUUAAUUAAAGUUUAUAAUCUUUGAAGGAAUGAUAUAUAUGGGUUCAAAAUA
Rhododendron vialii is the source of this 451-nucleotide long non-coding RNA. RefSeq lists it as uncharacterized. The record is from RefSeq and is a predicted model, not a curated record. Lineage: Eukaryota; Viridiplantae; Streptophyta; Magnoliopsida; Ericales; Ericaceae. The transcript has 3 exons.